NNGGGGGGGGGGCGNGGCAAGGGGACCGCNUUCCGNCCUAGAAACUNGCNCUCUAAUGCAUCUCACCCCAGGCUAAUGUAGGAAGCUCUUAUGCGCCGACAGCGCACGNCUCGCAAGGGGCGACAACCUCCAAAUCGAACAUCGUUUACGAGCGUANACNUACCGAGGGUAUCUAAUCCGUNUUUGCUCCCCACGCUUUCGCACCUAAGCGUCAGUCUUUGUCCAGGGGGCCGCCUUCGCCACCGGUAUUCCUCCAGAUCUCUACGCAUUUCACCGCUACACCUGGAAUUCUACCCCCCUCUACAAGACUCUAGCUUGCCAGUUUCAAAUGCAGUUCCCACGUUAAGCGCGGGGAUUUCACAUCUGACUUAACAAACCGCCUGCGUGCGCUUUACGCCCAGUAAUUCCGAUUAACGCUUGCACCCUCCGUAUUACCGCGGCUGCUGGCACGGAGUUAGCCGGUGCUUCUUCUGCGAGUAACGUCAAUGCAAUGUGCUAUUAACACAUUGCCCUUCCUCCUCGCUAAAAGUGCUUUACAACCCUAAGGCCUUCUUCACACACGCGGCAUGGCUGCAUCAGGCUUGCGCCCAUUGUGCAAUAUUCCCCACUGCUGCCUCCCGUAGGAGUCUGGACCGUGUCUCAGUUCCAGUGUGGCUGGUCAUCCUCUCAGACCAGCUAGGGGAUCGUCGCCUAGGUGAGCCAUUACCCCCACCUACUAGCNAAUUCCCAUCUUGGGGCACAUCCUGAUGGGCGUUGAAGGGCCCGAAGGGGUCCCCCCAACUUUUGGGGUUCCCGUAAAACCGUUUAAUUGCCCGGGUAUUUAAGCCCUACCCCGGUUUUUCCCAGGUUAAAUUUUAAUUCCCCCCCCCUCCCCAUUCAAGGGGCANGUUUUUCCCCCANGAACAAUUUACCUCACCCCCCGGUUCCCCCCCCCGCNUCCGUUCCCCCCCCAAAAAGAAGCCAAGGCCCUCUCUCUGUGGUGCUUACCNGCCCUCCAACCUUUCCCUUUGUUGUUUAGGGGCCGGCNCCCCCCCCCCGGUUUUAAAAUUUAGAACCCCAGGGAUUCUAAAAAACACCANGUGNGUUUUCACCCGGUA
RNAcentral lists this ribosomal RNA (1097 nucleotides) under Serratia plymuthica. RNAcentral describes it as "partial 16S ribosomal RNA". The record is from RNAcentral. Lineage: Bacteria; Pseudomonadati; Pseudomonadota; Gammaproteobacteria; Enterobacterales; Yersiniaceae.